RNAcentral lists this long non-coding RNA (902 nucleotides) under Sorghum bicolor (sorghum). Its description in RNAcentral is "long non-coding RNA (SBIC_LNC010245)". The record is from RNAcentral. Lineage: Eukaryota; Viridiplantae; Streptophyta; Magnoliopsida; Poales; Poaceae.
AUCAGGAUUGUCUCCCACAAGUUCUUCAUAAUCAACAAAGUACUGACUCCCAUCAUCUUCGCCUUGGGGAUCUAGAUUGGCACCGCUCUUGAUUAGGUCCAUCAUUGCAUCAUCCAUGUUGUCAUUCGGAUUGGCCAUUUCUGCAAAUUUAAUCAAGUGUUAAAACUUAGACAAUAUUCGAUACAACAACUAAGAUAAAUUAUAUCAUAUAAAUUAUAUAAUACAAAAGAUAAAUUAUAAAAUACAAAUUAUACAUCUCAUCUCAAUAUCUAUCCCUACUAACUAAUUACAACAUAGGAUAAAUUAUAUCAUAUAAAUUAUAUAAUACAAAAGAUAAAUUGUAAAAUACAAAUUAUACAUCUCAUCUCAAUAUCUAUCCCCACAAACUAAUUACAACACAUGAUAAAUUAUAUCAUAUAAAUUAUAUAAUACAAAAGAUAAACUAUAAAAUAAAAAUUAUACUUCUCAUCUCAAUAUCUAUCCCCACAAACUAAUUACAACACAUGAUAAAUUAUAUCAUAUAAAUUAUUUAAUACAAAAGAUAAAUUAUAAAAUAGAAAUUAUACAUCUCAUCUCAAUAUCUAUCCCCACAAACUAAUUACAACACAUGAUAAAUUAUAUCAUAUAAAUUAUAUAAUACAAAAGAUAAAUUAUAAAAUAGAAAUUAUACAUCUCAUCUCAAUAUCUAUCCCACAAACUAAUUACAACACAUGAUAAAUUAUAUCAUAUAAAUUAUAUAAUACAAAAGAUAAAUUAUAAAAUAGAAAUUAUACAUCUCAUCUCAAUAUCUAUCCCCACAAACUAAUUACAACAUAGGAUAAAUUAUAUCAUAUAAAUUAUAUAAUACAAAAGAUAAAUUAUAAAAUAGAAAUUAUACAUCUCAUCUCAAUAUCUAUCCCCAC